Molecule: ribosomal RNA, 400 nt
Filed under: Pseudomonas sp. WR0313
Lineage: Bacteria; Pseudomonadati; Pseudomonadota; Gammaproteobacteria; Pseudomonadales; Pseudomonadaceae
Description: bacterial SSU rRNA
Rfam family: Bacterial small subunit ribosomal RNA
Source: RNAcentral
UAGAGAGGUGCUUGCACCUCUUGAGAGCGGCGGACGGGUGAGUAAUGCCUAGGAAUCUGCCUGGUAGUGGGGGAUAACGCUCGGAAACGGACGCUAAUACCGCAUACGUCCUACGGGAGAAAGCAGGGGACCUUCGGGCCUUGCGCUAUCAGAUGAGCCUAGGUCGGAUUAGCUAGUUGGUGGGGUAAUGGCUCACCAAGGCGACGAUCCGUAACUGGUCUGAGAGGAUGAUCAGUCACACUGGAACUGAGACACGGUCCAGACUCCUACGGGAGGCAGCAGUGGGGAAUAUUGGACAAUGGGCGAAAGCCUGAUCCAGCCAUGCCGCGUGUGUGAAGAAGGUCUUCGGAUUGUAAAGCACUUUAAGUUGGGAGGAAGGGCAUUAACCUAAUACGUUAGU